GUAAGUCACCUGCACGAGCUCCACUUCAUGUCAGUCUCGCGAUAUCUGGUGACGCGCCUUUAGAAGCUAUAAGUCCUCGAUUAGCUGAAGUACAAGUCCUGGAUAUAACUACAUUUGUCACAGUUCACUGCAAGUUGGUCUUUGAUGCAACAUCCCUGCUAAGGGUGCAGAUAUCAAAAGCUGUCUGCCCCCUAUACUGUAGCUGUACAGGAGAAAAGACCUCCAGUGUUUACCUCUUCUGUCCAUUUGCUUUACCAUCCCAGCUCUCUUCACGCGUCACAUAUUGCAACUCAAACAUCAUCACAGAGAAGUCUGUUGAACUCAUCUAGGAAGGUUGAACACCCUAAACACAAAUCAGGUGGUGCAUCUCCAUGGCAACAAGCUCCAUCUUUGGCCAGAAGCUUAGACUGACAGCGAGCACUCCGCUCACAAGACAGGGGCUUCGUUACUCUCCCUUGAUCACCAAUCAAAUCCAGAUCUCUAGGAUAACUGAGAAAACUCCAUCCACUGAUGAAGGCCACAAGGUGUGUCUGAAAGCC
Monopterus albus (swamp eel) is the source of this 539-nucleotide long non-coding RNA. RefSeq lists it as uncharacterized. The record is from RefSeq and is a predicted model, not a curated record. The transcript is spliced from 6 exons. NCBI's taxonomy places the organism in Eukaryota, Metazoa, Chordata, Actinopteri, Synbranchiformes, Synbranchidae.